CACGCCGUAAACGUUGUGUACUAGGUGUAGGAGGUAUCGACCCCUUCUGUGCCGCAGCUAACGCAUUAAGUACACCGCCUGGGGAGUACGCGCGCAAGCGUGAAACUCAAAGGAAUUGACGGGGGCCCGCACAAGCGGUGGAGCAUGUGGUUUAAUUCGAGGCAACGCGAAGAACCUUACCCAGACUUGACAUCUAGGAAAGGUCCUGGAAACAGGAUCGUGCCCGCAAGGGAAUCCUAAGACAGGUGU
RNAcentral lists this ribosomal RNA (249 nucleotides) under uncultured bacterium. Its description in RNAcentral is "partial 16S ribosomal RNA". It matches the Rfam family "Bacterial small subunit ribosomal RNA", at positions 796 to 1041 of the family's 1533-position model. The record is from RNAcentral.